Molecule: long non-coding RNA, 745 nt
Filed under: Phoenix dactylifera (date palm)
Lineage: Eukaryota; Viridiplantae; Streptophyta; Magnoliopsida; Arecales; Arecaceae
Description: long non-coding RNA (PDAC_LNC018381)
Source: RNAcentral
UUGUACCACAUCAAUUUUGGUAUCAGAGCCAGGUUUAUUAGGGCACCAUUUUCAUGCAUUAGUGUAGAACUUAGAAUUACUAGGCACCAGUUUUAAUCUUUCCGCAUCCUUUUCUGAGUAUAGUUUAUUUGGGACAUCAACAUUAAGAUUAGAAGUUUUUAGCUAGUUUGCUUGAUCAACUAUUCAAAUGCAAUUUAAUGACAUGACAUAAAAUGAUUAAAAAAUUUUCUUGAUUGUUGCAUAUAAGCAUUUGCAUAAAAUAAUCUAAGGGCUGAACCCAUUAACAAGAUAAGGUCGGGAUUUCAUCACUCGUCCUUAGUCCAAAAAUCAUCCCAGUGCAUAAAUAUCCUAAGCCUAAUUAAAAUCAACUAGACGUUGGCCCCUAAGGAUACUCGAGCUCAAUAGGACGAAGACCACUGAAAGUUGCACCAAUUUUGCUCUAUGAUCCCGGUCGAUGUCUAGGCAAGCUUUGUCCCUUUAAGUAAUUAAAGGGAGACAGUUUCUGUUCGAGGAAAGUGGGUUUUAAGUGGGACCUUUGCUACAUGCAACGUGACCCCUCCACUUACCUGGGAGCUUACCUGGUCGACUAGGUUAUUAGACCGGAUUGGAGGCUUAAGUGUACUCUUCAACUCAGUUAGGAGCUGUCUAGAAUUUUUAGGAAAAACCUUAGAAAUUGUUGGGUGAUGCAUGUGUUUGUUUUAUUGUAUUAGGGUGUUUGUGUAAAAAAACAAAAAAAUAAUAAAAU